AUUGAACGCUGGCGGCAUGCCUUACACAUGCAAGUCGAACGGCAGCGCGGGAGCAAUCCUGGCGGCGAGUGGCGAACGGGUGAGUAAUACAUCGGAACGUGCCCAAUCGUGGGGGAUAACGCAGCGAAAGCUGUGCUAAUACCGCAUACGAUCUACGGAUGAAAGCAGGGGAUCGCAAGACCUUGCGCGAAUGGAGCGGCCGAUGGCAGAUUAGGUAGUUGGUGAGGUAAAGGCUCACCAAGCCUUCGAUCUGUAGCUGGUCUGAGAGGACGACCAGCGACACUGGGACUGAGACACGGCCCAGACUCCUACGGGAGGCAGCAGUGGGGAAUUUUGGACAAUGGGCGAAAGCCUGAUCCAGCCAUGCCGCGUGCAGGAUGAAGGCCUUCGGGUUGUAAACUGCUUUUGUACGGAACGAAACGGUCUUUUCUAAUAAAGAAGGCUAAUGACGGUACCGUAAGAAUAAGCACCGGCUAACUACGUG
This 484-nucleotide ribosomal RNA is filed under the name uncultured bacterium. RNAcentral describes it as "partial 16S ribosomal RNA". It matches the Rfam family "Bacterial small subunit ribosomal RNA", at positions 30 to 507 of the family's 1533-position model. The record is from RNAcentral.